Molecule: ribosomal RNA, 462 nt
Filed under: uncultured Methanolinea sp.
Lineage: Archaea; Methanobacteriati; Methanobacteriota; Methanomicrobia; Methanomicrobiales; Methanoregulaceae
Description: bacterial SSU rRNA
Rfam family: Archaeal small subunit ribosomal RNA
Source: RNAcentral
CACCACAACGGGUGGAGCCUGCGGUUUAAUUGGACUCAACGCCGGGCAGCUCACCGGAUAAGACAGCUGGAUGAUAGCCGGGCUGAAGACUCUGCUUGACUAGCUGAGAGGAGGUGCAUGGCCGUCGUCAGUUCGUACUGUGAAGCAUCCUGUUAAGUCAGGCAACGAGCGAGACCCACGCCAACAGUUGCCAGCAUGUCCUCCGGGAUGAUGGGGACACUGUUGGGACCGCCUCUGCUAAAGAGGAGGAAGGAAUGGGCAACGGUAGGUCAGCAUGCCCCGAAUUAUCCGGGCUACACGCGGGCUACAAUGGUCAGGACAAUGGGUAUCGACACCGAGAGGUGGAGGCAAUCUCCUAAACCUGUCCUUAGUUCGGAUUGUGGGCUGCAACUCGCCCACAUGAAGCUGGAAUCCGUAGUAAUCGCGUUUCAACAGAACGCGGUGAAUACGUCCCUGCUCCUU